UGAUUACCGGGGCGGUCAGGACCAACUCACUUUCCCGGCUGGUCUCUCUGUUCUUCCUGCACUAGAACCCCGGCUGGGAACCCGUGGCACCUCCACUACCCUCAUCUCCCGGCUUUUCGUGACCCGAGUUUGAACUGGCCGAGUACGAGAAACUCUUGGAUCAGGUGAAGAUCAGUGAAGAAGCCCUGAGAGCAGAUGGCUUUGGAGAGAAUCCUUUCUAUCACUGUUUGGUAGCAGAGAUUCUUCCAGCACCUGGGGAAUUACAGG
This is a long non-coding RNA of Sciurus carolinensis (gray squirrel), 267 nucleotides long. RefSeq lists it as uncharacterized. The record is from RefSeq and is a predicted model, not a curated record. Lineage: Eukaryota; Metazoa; Chordata; Mammalia; Rodentia; Sciuridae. The transcript is spliced from 3 exons.